CCCAGCCCCCGCCAGGGCCUCAUGGCCAGGCAGGGAACGGGAGGCCUGGAGCUCUGUUACCUUUCACAGCCAGGGAACAAAGAGACAAAGAAAUUCACAGGCUUAGGUCUUAAGUAAGGAUAUAGGUCACAGCGUUGAUGCAUAUGGAAUGGAAGGCAGAAGAGAAUGUUUUCAACACAAACCUGGAUAUCUCUGGUUUAGUCAGGAAGAUUGGGUUUACCAGAAAACUAGAAGAACAUUGAUUAGUUGCUCUAGAGACUGAAAUCCUGUAAUUAUCCUCAGAGGUGAAACAGCUUCUGUGCGUUUGCUGUGACAGCAGGAGGCAGCAUUGUAACAGCAGGACAUCGUGCAGAGGCAGGAAGAUAAAUCACUGGACAUGCUGGAUGCCUAGCUAAAGGCAUGGUAACUAAAAGAGCAGGUUAAAUAUCAUUAGUUAAUUAGCAAGUGAAGUUUGGAUAUUUGGGAUGCAUCCAAAUACCUGAUGUUUCAUAGGUUUCACUUUCUGAGUAAUUUUUUAUUUUGCUAAACAAGUAAAAAAAAUUAAUGAAGAUAUACAAGUAAUUCUACUAACACUUUGGUUUUUAUGCACUACAUUAUUCUAUAUUAAUAUUUUAUCUCUAUAGUCAAUAUUAACCUGAUUAACAUGGUUUUGUCAAUGCACAAACUUAUUACUCUGCAGUAUAGGUAUUAAUUUUCUAUAAAGAUGGCUUCCUUUGGUGUUCCAUUGUUUUGUAAGCAAAGAAAAUGGAAAAACAACAAAGUAAGAAAAUAUUUCAGGAGUUUUGACAGCAGUAUUAAAGAUUAAGAGAUUUUAUAUUUAGAGGGGAAAUCUCAUGUUGAAUUUUUUUUAGUGCAGCUUACCCGUUUUUAUAUAGUACUUAUUUCUAUUUACUAGUUUUCACUGAAGUAACUCUUGGUCUCUGAAGUCAGUAAUUAUUUAAGAAUAGCACAAUUUUCCUAAAACUAGGAACUCUGUCAUUUGUGUUUAAUUUUCAGAGUAGUAACAAAAUUACAAUUUUAAAUUUUCUUUGAAUGUAAGCACUGGGAUUUAAAAAUAUCUCAUUAAAUAUCUGUUCUGUGUUUUAACAGUGUUUUUAUAUAAUCUAGGUAAUGUCAUUUUGCUCUCUCUUACCUUGGACUGAAGACAUUCUUUAACACUUGGGUUGGAUGUAGGCAAAGAGACAUUUUCCUCCCUGCAGAUUAUUUUUCCUCCCCCCAGAUUAUUUUAUACAUCUUCCAGUAUAUGUGAGAGGCAGGCAGAACAGAGGCCAGUUAUUUAAAGAAUAUGUACAUCACAUUUAGUAAUAUUCUACAACAUACUAAAUUUAAAAACCACCCAAUCAAACCAAGAAAAAGCUCCAUACUUUUACAUUCUGCUAAUUUUAGCUGUACACAACCUAUACUUUUUCUACAAGAGACAGCUUGGGGGUUUUAAGGUGUGAUCUACAAAAACAAACAAUGCAGAUGAUUGCUUUAUAUUUAUUUACACUGGUAGCAGCUACCACUGCUUCCUAAAAAGCUUUCUAUUUUCUAAAAUGAAUUUGUUUAUUGUUCAUAAACUCCUUCUAUUUUCAUCAUUGAAACAACAUGACUAUUUCAUACAGGGGCUUCAUAAGACCUCCCAGAGCUACGUGACUUACCAGCUAUGCCUAAGGUUCAAAAAUCCCAUAAAAGUCACAUUUAAAGAGUGAAACCAUUCCAGAGGUUACACAAUGAUGCAACCAAUUGUUCUUAUCAUGCAGAAUACUAUACUGGAUUAUUUGUUUAGGCUUAUUCAAUUUAGUCACAGUACUGGGUAUUUUAAAAUUUUUCAGAGCACAGAGGAAAGUAGAAUUUAAACACUCCUUUUCCUUGAAGGACUUGGAAUGUUGAUCAAAUUAAUUGACCUUGAUGACUAAAUUUGCUUUUAUUUCAUAAAAAUUGAAUAGCCUUUAUAUCAGAUAAAUUCAGCUUCUCAAGAAACUAAUGCUUCUUGGAAAGUUGCUUGAGUAAAAUGUUUAAAACACACACAUCAUCUUUUAGUCUUAAAAGAAAAUUAUUUGCUGAACACAGAGGUGUUGAACUUCUCCAAGCAAGAAAGCUGAGUAAGAUUCAUCAGAAGGGCAAACAACACUUCCCAUAGGCAUCAAAUAUGUGACUUAAGAAUUAACCCUCUCAGAUUUCCUGGAAGGUUUUCAGGCAGUGCACCAAAUUCCUAGUAGAUUGUCAGGAGAAUGGAUGGUAGUAGCAGACACAUCAUUCAAUACAUAUUCAGCAAUGGAAUGUCUGUCCUUAGAGCUGUCGUUUCUUGUGGUACUGCUGGUAGUGUUUGAGAGAAAAUGCUGAUGAAUGUUUUUCCUGGCUCUAGAAAUGUCCUGCAGAAGCUUCAUAUGUGGGUUUUCAACAUACCUAUUUUGGUUUUCACAUCAAUACCCACACAUUUUCCAAAAGCACUGAUAGGAUCCUGCACUUAUGAGUAGUCUUUUACAGUACUGUUUUGAUUCAGCAAAGUUAUCUCAUUUUGCACAGGUUUGCAGGGACUGGUCUGCAUAAAAAUCUAUGCAUAAACUGGGAAAAAAAAAAAAGUAGAUGAGAAUAAAAUGGUGCAGUAAAGCCAUUAAUAGAUGAGAUCAAUGAGAACUGUGAAAUUAUUGAUUUACUUUGUAAAACGAUCUUUAAGGUAAACAAAUAAAGUGAAGAAGUAGGGGGAGGGAAAUGUAUAAGCAUGGGACAAUAAUGCAAAAAUAAAUACAAAGAUAACUCUAGUAAUUGCUGAUCAGAGCUGCAUGAUAGCCAAAGCCAGUAGAAGUGUUCCACUCAUAAAAUUGAAUUGGAUUAAAUACCAUUAUUAAUAAUAGCCAUAACUGUAAUAGUGCCUUGUAUACACACAGUCAUAAACAAGUGACCUUUUGAAAUAAUGGGGUAGUGGACAUAAACUUAAAUCACUGUGUGCAUAUUGAUUAAAUUAUUUCACAAAAUUAUUUGGAAAAUUUUCUUAUACAAAAACCCCCACAUACAAAUCUAAGCUACCUGUAAGCACUGGGAUUUGCUGUGAAGAUAAUUUGUUACUCAAAUUAGCUUCUCUGAGAACAUGAGCCAGGAAUAGAGCCAAUUUAUUUUAAUAUAAGGAAUUCAAAUAAAUGGCAGCAAUUAAGGAUCAUGUUGCACCUUUUACUCCCAUAGUCCAUCUGAGUAAGAAAAGGUGAAUUGUUAGGUAAAGCCUGUGCAUUGUAUUUUGAUAAGAGCUGUGAAAAGUUUUGGAAUUAGAACAUUUAGCUUCUGUAUUUUGCAUAAACACCUCAUCUUUUAAACAGAUAUAUCACAGAAUCAAAGACUUUUAUUGUCUUUUA
Molecule: long non-coding RNA, 3329 nt
Organism: Cyanistes caeruleus (blue tit)
Lineage: Eukaryota; Metazoa; Chordata; Aves; Passeriformes; Paridae
Source: RefSeq, a predicted model, not a curated record